This is a long non-coding RNA of Papaver somniferum (opium poppy), 1988 nucleotides long. RefSeq lists it as uncharacterized. The transcript is spliced from 4 exons. Lineage: Eukaryota; Viridiplantae; Streptophyta; Magnoliopsida; Ranunculales; Papaveraceae. The record is from RefSeq and is a predicted model, not a curated record.
UUUCUUCUCUCCUGCAGAAACACACGGCUUCUCUGAUUCUCUUUUCAUCGAUUCUUCUUCGUGUAUGACGUAGUUAUCAAUGUUAUAAUUUGUAUGCGUUUUAGUUGAACCGGAAAGACCUCAUUGAGAAGGAAUAAAAGAGGAAGUUGAAUCAGAUAGACGAUUGAGAGGAAUGGAAGAAUAAUGUAAACAUACAAAAAACUAUGACCAUCCUGUCAAUGCUUGAUAUGUAACCUGUGUUGAUGACUGACUAUGCUGCGGAGAUAAUUAAGAUGGGCUUAAAUAGUUCAAUGUGGAGUUCCAUGGUCCAAAAGAAAGUGAUCUUCUGCUUUCUCCUGUGAUGCUUCCUCUAUUUACAUUAAUGCAACUUCAAGGUUUCUGCAAUGGUUAACAAGGUUUUUGCAAUGGUUGAAUUCAAAGAUCAAAUGAAUUUUUAAAUGCUUCCAUUUUCAGACUUUGGUCAUUGCAGGUCUUUCUGAAGGGUGUGUAGAAAAUUUGUGUAGAGUUGCCAAGUGCGUAUCCACACAAGUCUCUUAUUGAUUCUUGAACAAAAAUUUCAUCCCAAUGUUGAUGAUUUGUGAGCAAACUCACUCAUGCAGCCAAUGUCCAAUGCUUAUGAAAAAAAAAGUCCAGUGCUUAUAUUGUUACCAAAGCUAAAGCCUUCAAGAUACUUUCAAGUUUGUACUGUUAAGCUCUGUUCUUUGUUUUGAUUAACAUUUAAUCAUGUUUUUCAUUCUCUUGAAGUAUUGCUUUGGGGAAUCCGUUGUUUAACGAUUGGACACGUACUUUCAGUCUUCCACCUAUUAUCUCAUCUAGGAAGCUCUUCCCUACUGAAGAUAGAAUUUUCGGACUCUUUCAUCUGAUUCAAUUGAGCCUGUGAUAUCGAAAAGCAUUUUGAGCCUUAUGUUAAGGUAUUGCACGUCAUAAUCCAAAGGAACUUUGCAUUUGUUCAGUUUGAGACACAAGUUGAAUUUACCAAAGAUCUUGAAUGCACUCACAUGAAUAAGAUGUGUGGCAGGGUGUCACUUAUGUUAUUGAUCUUUAUGCAUAACCUUAGCUGCGCCCUUCCCUUACUUUUUUGUUAUCAUCAAACAUCAGCAACAACCCUUCAUGUUAUUCCCAUUAUUACAUCCUCAUGAUCGAUAAUGAAUUUCUUUACCCUAUUACCUUUUAAUGUGAGUACCUUAACUAUCUUCCGUCCUCUUCGUUCUCUCUCACCAUCUUCCGUUCUUUCUCGACCUUUGAUCUAUUAUUCUUUCUCUGCAAAUAGUAUAUACUUAACCUUAUCUACCCUAACAUUGGAGACCUGUAGAAGCACAAGCUAAAAUUGAGGUGAUUAAAGAAGAUAGUUGAGGAUCUGAGGUUAAGGUACACAGCUUCAAUACUUUUGGUUAAAGUUUCCCUCGCUUAUUUUGUAUAAAUUAAAUUUUUGGGGUUAUGGUCGAAGAUAUUUGGGGUCUUUUCAAUUUAUAACUAAUAUAAUAAAACCAGACAUCAGGAUAACAUUUUAAGAGAUCCUUGGUGUUUAGAUCGAAUUAUGUGAUGAAGUUAUCUAAGGUGUCACUUCGUAUAAGUUUCUUCUGUAUAUACCAUCUCAAGAGAUCCUCCCAAAGUUGUGGCCUACUAAGUGAUCUCUUGAGAUGGUAUAUAUAGAAGGAAUCUCUCACUUGAUAACUUACUGUUAGGAAGCUAUGGAAUUGUCGAUUUCUUUAAAGAUUUUAGGUUUGGACAAGUUACUUCGCUAUGUUGUUAUUAUUUUGCAUAUUUCUAGAGAGAGCAGGAGAACUAAGGGUGUUUGAACACUUCUCCCAACUGUGAUUUAUCUGUGUUUUUAUGACAUGAAAUAAAAUUAAGAAAUUCAAGGGCCUUAAUUAAUUUACCAAUUUUUAAAUUAUUGAGACAAAUAAAGAGGAUGUGAAGUGGGUGAUGCCAUAUUGGUUAUAGACGAAAUCAUUGUUACAGGGAGCUUUGUAUGAUAAGUUCAUUCU